AGGACGAAACGCUGGCGGCGUGCUUAACACAUGCAAGUCGAGCGGAAAGGCCCUUCGGGGUACUCGAGCGGCGAACGGGGUGAGUAACACGUGAGCAAUCUGCCCCUUAGCUUCGGGGAUAGCUCCGGGAAAACCGGAUUAAUACCGAAUAUGACUACGGUUGACAUCAGCCAUGGUGGAAAGUUUUUUCGGCUAGGGAUGAGCUCGCGGCCUAUCAGCUAGUUGGUGGGGUAACGGCCUACCAAGGCGACGACGGGUA
RNAcentral lists this ribosomal RNA (259 nucleotides) under uncultured bacterium. RNAcentral's name for it is "partial small subunit ribosomal RNA". It matches the Rfam family "Bacterial small subunit ribosomal RNA", at positions 32 to 285 of the family's 1533-position model. The record is from RNAcentral.